Molecule: long non-coding RNA, 1017 nt
Filed under: Anser brachyrhynchus (Pink-footed goose)
Lineage: Eukaryota; Metazoa; Chordata; Aves; Anseriformes; Anatidae
Description: lncRNA (ENSABRG00000001769.1)
Source: RNAcentral
AUGAGCACAGCUGCUUGGAAACAGCUCUCCGCUGGGCCUCUUGCAACGGUGCAGAGAAAAGCUGCCCAGUGCCACCCCUCUGCAGGCGCUGCUUUUAUUCCAGGUAGGAACAAAAACUUGCUUUGUAAAUUUUUUCCCCCCCACGUCCUUCCUGCGAGCAGCCCGGCCGCGGGGCACUGCGGCCUUUGGCCAAAUGAAAGCCUUGGUGCAGGCAGCGGCACUGCAAAGCUCCGACCUUCCAGGCAGGGCUUUGGGGUGGAGGUGCCUGCAGGAGACAACUGUGCUCGAGGGUCUGUUGGAAGAGGGGAGCGAAAUAUUUCCCCAGCCCGCUCCCGGCUGAGGAAUGCAGCUCGGGCUGAGGCGGUGAGCAGGGGCAGGGACACGGCAUUCUUCCUGCUCGCCGGGAUCCAGCGCCGUCUAGACUUCGUAACGCACCGCCCGGCCUUGAACUGCUGCCACGGCAUCUCCCGGCGCUUCCCCUCGGUGGAAGCGGAGCAGCCUGCGCUCUGCCAAAGCCUCAGUCACGCGAACGAGCUCCCAGUUCCUGCCGGCUUUGGCAAUUCGUCCCGCUCAGCCUGUGAACGUGCAGCAGGUGGGAGCGAAGCUCAUUUCCAAACCCACGGCCUGCCGAAAACAAAAAAACCCGACCUGAUUUCCACAAGGAGGGAACGGCCACAUCUCCCUCCGGGCUGGUGGAGAUGCCUGGCCGCGGGGAGGGAUGCUCCUGCAAAGGGAACCCCCAGACCAGCUCUCUGGGGAGCUGAUCCUUGGGUCAAGCAUCAUUUCCCUCUCACUCCAAUACUGAUCCCGCCUGCUGUUGGUGUGCUGGCAGGUUUGGGUGCCUGGCACGAUGCUCCUUGGAGAGCUCUGGUUUCCAGAGGUCGGGUCCCAAGCGUGCACAUCAGUUCUCUGCUGCUCGGUGUGAAAACGGAGGCAGCUCAGAUGCUCGGUCAUUUUGUUGCGUGUUCCUGGGCUCCACCAAAAGGCCAUGCAUCCCUCUGCAGAAGUGCUGGGUGA